RNAcentral lists this ribosomal RNA (440 nucleotides) under uncultured bacterium. Its description in RNAcentral is "partial 16S ribosomal RNA". It matches the Rfam family "Bacterial small subunit ribosomal RNA", at positions 338 to 795 of the family's 1533-position model. The record is from RNAcentral.
CCUACGGGAGGCAGCAGUGGGGAAUAUUGCACAAUGGGGGAAACCCUGAUGCAGCGACGCCGCGUGAGUGAAGAAGUAUUUCGGUAUGUAAAGCUCUGUCAGCCGGGAAGAAAAUUACGUUCCCUGACCAAGAAGCCCCUACUAACUACGUGCCCGCCGCCGCGGUAAUACGUAGGGGGCAAGUGUUUUCCGGAUUUACUGGGUGUAAAGGGAGCGUAUGCGGCAGGGCAAGUCUGGAGUGAAAGGCGGGGGCUCAACCCCCGGACUGCUCUGGAAACUGCCAGGCUGGAGUGCAGGAGAGGUAAGUGGAAUUCCUAGUGUAGCGGUGAAAUGCGUAGAUAUUAGGAGGAACACCAGUGGCGAAGGCGGCUUACUGGACUGUAACUGACGUUGAGGCUCGAAAGCGUGGGGAGCAAACAGGAUUAGAUACCCGUGUAGUC